This is a long non-coding RNA of Cotesia glomerata, 161 nucleotides long. RefSeq lists it as uncharacterized. The transcript has 3 exons. The record is from RefSeq and is a predicted model, not a curated record. Lineage: Eukaryota; Metazoa; Arthropoda; Insecta; Hymenoptera; Braconidae.
AGUACCUGGAACGCUACCACCUGGGUAAGUUCCGGGCUGUCCUACUCCUGGCAUACCACCUGGAUAAGUUCCCGGCUGUCCUAUUCCUUGUAUACCACCUGGAUACGUUCCUGGUUGUCCUACUCCAGGAGUACCUCCGGGAUAAGUUCCUGGUUGACCAG